CCGCUCACGAGAAGUCCUGCAAGAGUGUGUUGGCCGUACGGGUGCGAGCAGCGGACAGAAGACUGUUAGGGCAGAGCGGAGAGACCGAGAAGGGGCAUACCUUUGGAUCUGUGAGGAGAUAUAAGAUGGGCUAAGAUUAUUCAGUGCUUUAUAGGUAUGGAUUAGCACUUUGAAUUAACUCCUAUACUAUAUAUGAAGCCAAUGUAAGGACUGACAGAGGGGUGAGGUGUGAGAGAACCAACAAGAGAGGAAAAUCAGUCUGACGGCAGCAUUCAUUACAGACUGCAGAGGGGUAAUACGGCUUUUGGGAAGACCAGUCAGGAGAGGGUUACAGUAAUCCAUGCAGGAAAUGACUAGAGCAUGGACAAGCUCCUU
Pelobates cultripes (western spadefoot toad) is the source of this 375-nucleotide non-coding RNA. Lineage: Eukaryota; Metazoa; Chordata; Amphibia; Anura; Pelobatidae. The record is from the annotation of a GenBank genome assembly.